AUGCCUGAACGGGAGCUUACGAUCUUGGGUAUUCCAAAUGUCAGUGAAUUAGUUGCAAUUUCAACUUGGUAUUUAUGGUGGGAGAGGCGAAAACUGGUCCAUAAAGAGAAAACCCAAGACGCUAACCAGAUCUCCAUGGGAAUUCGUGCUAUUACGUUAAACUAUGUUUUGGCUAUAUCAUCAAAGGCUACGAUGAAAAGAGGAGGUUGGGUCCAACCUCCAAGGGGGUUUGUAAAACUUAAUGUGGAUGCCUCUUUUGAUCAUGACCGGCUCAGGGGCACGGCUGGUGCUGUUUUGAAAGAUGAUAAAGGAAAAUUCAUUGCAGGGGGAAUUGGAGAAUUGAUUGGUGCACGGAUGUUCUGA
This 363-nucleotide ribosomal RNA is filed under the name Triticum aestivum (bread wheat). RNAcentral describes it as "partial small subunit ribosomal RNA". Lineage: Eukaryota; Viridiplantae; Streptophyta; Magnoliopsida; Poales; Poaceae. The record is from RNAcentral.